CCGACCGAAACGGGCUGACUGGAGGGGGUCAGAGGGGGGUGGAAUGCCGCGUGGAGCAGUGAAAUGCGUAGAGAUGCGGCGGAACACCGGUGGCGAAGGCGGCCCCUGGGACCCAUCUGACGCUGAGGCGCGAAGGCUGGGGGAGCGAACGGGAUUAGAUACCCCGGUAGUCCCAGCAGUAAACGAUGGGCGCUGGCUGUCGGCGGUUUGACCCCGUCGGUGGCUGAGCUAACGCGCAAGCGCCCCGCCUGGGGAGUACGGCCGCAAGGCUAAAACUCAAAGGAAUUGACGGGGGCCCGCACAAGCAGCGGAGCGUGUGGUUUAAUUCGACGCGACGCGCAGCACCUUACCAGGGCUUGACAUGGGAGUGCAAACGGUGGAAACACCGCUUCCUUCGAGGGUCUUCCACAGAUGCUGCAUGGCUGUCGUCAGCUCGUGCCGUGGGGUGUUGGGUUAAGUCCCGCAACGAGCGCAACCCUCGUCGCCAGUUGCAAGUGUCUGGCGAGACAGCCGGCCGCAAGCCGGAGGAAGGUGGGGAUGACGUCAAGUCCGCAUGGCUCUGACGCCCUGG
RNAcentral lists this ribosomal RNA (571 nucleotides) under uncultured bacterium. RNAcentral's name for it is "bacterial SSU rRNA". It matches the Rfam family "Bacterial small subunit ribosomal RNA", at positions 623 to 1212 of the family's 1533-position model. The record is from RNAcentral.